Molecule: microRNA precursor, 178 nt
Filed under: Podarcis lilfordi (Lilford's wall lizard)
Lineage: Eukaryota; Metazoa; Chordata; Lepidosauria; Squamata; Lacertidae
Source: RNAcentral
GUGUGCAAGCAGGAGGGGGCAGGGAUCUCUCAGGCAGUGCAAUGCCUCCCUUCCCAUCGGAGCAGCCCCAAUCCCAUUCCUACUUGCGUGCAAGCCGGAGGGGUGGGGAUCCCUCAGCUGGGAAGGGAGGCUUCCUGUUGCCUAACUGAGAGAUCCCUGCCCCCUUCUGCUUGCAUGC